Molecule: ribosomal RNA, 344 nt
Filed under: uncultured Sulfurovum sp.
Lineage: Bacteria; Pseudomonadati; Campylobacterota; Epsilonproteobacteria; Campylobacterales; Sulfurovaceae
Description: bacterial SSU rRNA
Rfam family: Bacterial small subunit ribosomal RNA
Source: RNAcentral
GGUGCUGCACGGCCUGUCGUCAGCUCGUGUCGUGAGAUGUUGGGUUAGUCCGCACGAGCGCAACCCCCGUCAUUAGUUGCUAACGGGUUAUGCCGAGAACUCUAAUGAGACUGCCUUCGUAAGGAGGAGGAAGGUGGGGACGACGUCAAGUCAUCAUGGGCCCUUAUGCCUGGGGCGACACACGUGCUACAAUGGUAUGUACAGAGAGACGCAAUACGGCGACGUGGAGCAAAUCUCUAAAACAUAUCUCAGUUCGGAUUGUAGUCUGCAACUCGACUACAUGAAGCUGGAAUCGCUAGUAAUCGCGGAUCAGCCAUGCCGCGGUGAAUACGUUCCCGGGUCUU